Non-coding RNA from Schistosoma rodhaini, 46 nucleotides. The record is from Rfam. NCBI's taxonomy places the organism in Eukaryota, Metazoa, Platyhelminthes, Trematoda, Strigeidida, Schistosomatidae.
GCACUGCUGAGGAGUCCCAUAAUAGGACGAAAUGGCAGUCCAGUGC